AACAAAACUAAGGAUCGCCUUAAACUAAAAGAAAAAAAGAUCAACGGAACGGGUGAGAUCUCCUCUCUGGCUGCAUUCCUGAAUGUCCCUCGUCCGCCGCCGCCUCCUCUCCACCGCGGCGGCAGUCGCCGCUGCCCGCGGCCCACCGCCGGUCCGCGUAGCCUUGACGGACUCCGCCGGCCGCGGAGUCUUCGCUACUCGCCCCAUCGCCACUGGCGAGGUCCUCCACUCGGCGCAGCCUCUCGUCACCCACCCUUCCCGCUCUCUCUUCCACGAGGUGUGCUACCGCUGCCUCAAGAGGAAAGCGGGGAAGGGCGACGACUCCAGAGGGGACUGCUACUUCUGCAGCGACGCGUGCCGGGAGCAUGCCGAGGGAUUCCAUGGCAUUCAGAAGAAGGUGGAUUGGUCUUUGUUAGAUGACCACUGUAGUUCACGUGGUCUGAAGUACCCAUACAUGGUCAGGCGGCUAGCUUGCAUGGUUAUAUCAGGAGAUGUUGGUGCAGAUUGUCUUGACAUUCUUCAGCCAGCCCAAUUGCACCAGGGUACACUUAUUGAGAUGGAAGAGGAGUUCGAAUUGUUGAAGUCCACUUUUAGGAAGGCAGGCUUUCAGGAAGAACUCACAACUUUAUUAGUUUUGACCAAACAAUGGUACAUCAAUAUACUUGCAAGAAUACGUGUAAAUGCAUUCCGUAUUGAAUUGGUUGCAAGUUCAUAUGAGGAUCUUCUAUCCUCAGCAGUAGCCUCGGUAACAUGCGAUGCAUCAGUUGGCAAUGCUGUAUAUAUGCUCCCCUCGUUCUACAACCAUGACUGUGAUCCGAAUACUCACAUAGUUUGGCUGGAAAACGCAGACGCUAAAUUGAAGACCCUUCGUGAUAUUGACGAAGGUGAAGAGCUGCGCAUCUGCUACAUUGAUACAAGCAUGGAUGUGAACGCCAGGCAGAAGAUUCUCACUGAAGGAUUUGGUUUCCAGUGCCGUUGCCAACGGUGCUUAUCUGGGGAUUAAAAUUCAUCGUUUGCCUUAAUGGCCGCUUCCCUCGACGUUAGACGCGAACAGUGAACACAGGAUAACUAAUGACAGGGGCGUAUCUAGGGCACAUUUUUAACUUUGUAGGGCAUCCUCCGCCCAAACAACACACAAUCACUUGGUGCUCUUGGAGCGUGCCGAGAUGUCUGAAUAAUAAAAAUGUAGCAAGUUCCAAAAAGCUCAGGAUGUCUGAUACUUACCAGCAGUUGAUCAACUGAGCAUAAUGUGCAACAAGGCACUCAUAGAAACAUCAGGACAGUGCAGCAAUCUACUACUUUGCUUGAAGGAUUUCCAAACUCCCAAAAGAAAUUCUCAAGUACUUAUUAUUUGUUUUUGGUGCUAACAUGAUUCUCUUCAUGACUGCGUCACCACUCACCAACUUAUUUUGUUUCACUGCUUACAUGAAUCAGAAAUAAUUUGCGAGGAUCAACAGCCAGGCUUGUCCCAAUUGGAUGCUCAGUUCAGGAUGCCAGAAGCUUUGUAGGAUUCGACACUGUCUCCGAGGGUCUUCUCUACAGGCCUGAAGGUGAAUUACAUAUGUACCGUCCGGACAUCUCUGGAUUCUCAUAUGCCAGAAGAAUAGCAUCGGCAACAUCACGAACAUCCACUAUAUCCCUGCUUUUAUUUUCUACAGUAUCAUGUUCUCCUGCAAAAUGAUAAGUAUUUUAGUGUUACAGAAACAGAACUAUAACCCUAAACUAGUUUGGUGAACAGCCUUCGUUUCAAUGAUAUGCAGGUUUUUUUUUUGC
Triticum aestivum (bread wheat) is the source of this 1773-nucleotide RNA transcript. It is a transcript of the gene named histone-lysine N-methyltransferase ATXR4, with no coding region annotated. NCBI's taxonomy places the organism in Eukaryota, Viridiplantae, Streptophyta, Magnoliopsida, Poales, Poaceae. The record is from RefSeq and is a predicted model, not a curated record. The transcript is spliced from 10 exons.